Molecule: long non-coding RNA, 549 nt
Filed under: Macaca mulatta (Rhesus monkey)
Lineage: Eukaryota; Metazoa; Chordata; Mammalia; Primates; Cercopithecidae
Description: lncRNA (ENSMMUG00000042039.2)
Source: RNAcentral
UAUUCAAGAUAGAGAAUUUCAUGUCUGUUUUUAACUCUGAGACUCAACUCUGUCUUCUGCUUUUCCAGGUGUUCCUGCAUUUGUACUUGUAGCUUUUCCAGUUCAAUAGAACUAGAGGAUCAGCCUCUGCUCCACCAUCUGGGCAGGAGAAAUAAAACCAAAGUUUCCUGGUGCCAGCCUCAGAGCUGGAUCCCAAUCAUAUGGGUGGCAGAGAUGAAGCAGAAGAGGCCUCCCCAGCUCCAGCUAAGAUCAUGGAGAUGGACGGAAGGUGCGAGUGCAUGCGGGCCCGAGAAUUUGGAAGACUGAAAGUGCCUGGUGGUUUAAGCGAAAGUGAAUUCUUCCCUGAGCACUGAUAGGAUUGCCCACGAGAAGAAAUCAUCUCUUCAGCCCUCUCGUCCUCCACAGGAACAGAAGGACACGUCCCAAGUGGCGAGCUGUGCAAGGCUGCAGACACUGUGAGUGGGCUGCGAGGGGCGGAGCUGAGGGUGGACGUCCUGACUGCUCGAUUUCCAGCCACAGCUCAGUUCACUCUACUUGGGAGAAACUUUC